GUGCUUAACACAUGCAAGUCGAGCGGUAAGGCCCUUUCGGGGGUACACGAGCGGCGAACGGGUGAGUAACACGUGGGUGACCUGCCCUCCACUCUGGGAUAAGCCCGGGAAACUGGGUCUAAUACCGGAUAGGACCACUGAUCGCAUGGUUGGUGGUGGAAAGUUUUUUCGGUGGGGGAUGGGCCCGCGGCCUAUCAGCUUGUUGGUGGGGUGAUGGCCUACCAAGGCGGUGACGGGUAGCCGGCCUGAGAGGGCGACCGGCCACACUGGGACUGAGACACGGCCCAGACUCCUACGGGAGGCAGCAGUGGGGAAUAUUGCGCAAUGGGCGGAAGCCUGACGCAGCGACGCCGCGUGGGGGAUGACGGCCUUCGGGUUGUAAACCUCUUUCGCCAGGGACGAAGAGCAAUUGACGGUACCUGGAGAAGAAGCACCGGCCAACUACGUGCCAGCAGCCGCGGUAACACGUAGGGUGCGAGCGUUGUCCGGAAUUAUUGGGCGUAAAGAGCUCGUAGGCGGUGUGUCGCGUCGGCCGUGAAAACUUGGGGCUUAACUCUGAGCGUGCGGUCGAUACGGGCAUCACUUGAGUUCGGCAGGGGAGACUGGAAUUCCUGGUGUAGCGGUGAAAUGCGCAGAUAUCAGGAGGAACACCGGUGGCGAAGGCGGGUCUCUGGGCCGAUACUGACGCUGAGGAGCGAAAGCGUGGGGAGCGAACAGGAUUAGAUACCCUGGUAGUCCACGCCGUAAACGUUGGGCGCUAGGUGUGGGGACCAUUCCACGGUUUCUGUGCCGCAGCUAACGCAUUAAGCGCCCCGCCUGGGGAGUACGGCCGCAAGGCUAAAACUCAAAGGAAUUGACGGGGCCCGCACAAGCGGCGGAGCAUGUGGAUUAAUUCGAUGCAACGCGAAGAACCUUACCUGGGUUUGACAUGCACCAGACAUCCCUAGAGAUAGGGCUUCCCUUGUGGUUGGUGUGCAGGUGGUGCAUGGCUGUCGUCAGCUCGUGUCGUGAGAUGUUGGGUUAAGUCCCGCAACGAGCGCAACCCUUGUUCCAUGUUGCCAGCACGUAAUGGUGGGGACUCAUGGGAGACUGCCGGGGUCAACUCGGAGGAAGGUGGGGAUGACGUCAAGUCAUCAUGCCCCUUAUGUCCAGGGCUUCACACAUGCUACAAUGGCUCAUACAGAGGGCUGCGAGACCGUGAGGUGGAGCGAAUCCCUUAAAGUGAGUCUCAGUUCGGAUCGGGGUCUGCAACUCGACCCCGUGAAGUUGGAGUCGCUAGUAAUCGCAGAUCAGCAACGCUGCGGUGAAUACGUUCCCGGGCCUUGUACACACCGCCCGUCACGUCACGAAAGUUGGUAACACCCGAAGCCGGCGGCCCAACCCUUGUGGAGGGAGCUGUCGAAGGUGGGACUGGCGAUUGGGACGAAGUCUAACAAGGUAGCCGUACCGGAAGGUGCGGCUGGAUCACCCCUUU
RNAcentral lists this ribosomal RNA (1474 nucleotides) under Pseudonocardia sp. AB560. RNAcentral describes it as "bacterial SSU rRNA". It matches the Rfam family "Bacterial small subunit ribosomal RNA". Lineage: Bacteria; Bacillati; Actinomycetota; Actinomycetes; Pseudonocardiales; Pseudonocardiaceae. The record is from RNAcentral.